RNAcentral lists this ribosomal RNA (281 nucleotides) under uncultured Bacteroidota bacterium. RNAcentral describes it as "uncultured Bacteroidetes bacterium partial 16S ribosomal RNA". The stretch from base 1 to 181 matches the Rfam family "Bacterial small subunit ribosomal RNA", at positions 202 to 392 of the family's 1533-position model. Lineage: Bacteria; Pseudomonadati; Bacteroidota. The record is from RNAcentral.
CGGCCGCGUCGACAAACGAUGGGGAUGCGUUCCAUUAGGUAGUAGGCGGGGUAACGGCCCACCUAGCCUACGAUGGAUAGGGGUUCUGAGAGGAAGGUCCCCCACAUUGGAACUGAGACACGGUCCAAACUCCUACGGGAGGCAGCAGUGAGGAAUAUUGGUCAACACCAUCUGAGUCGGCAUGAAUUAUCUGCCAUUAUCAAGAUGUCUGGUAGCAUCGGUCUCUCGACUUCGGGCCUAACCUUGUCUGUCGUGACAGAAAAUGCCAAGCUGGCUCGUCA